RNAcentral lists this ribosomal RNA (477 nucleotides) under uncultured bacterium. RNAcentral's name for it is "bacterial SSU rRNA". It matches the Rfam family "Bacterial small subunit ribosomal RNA", at positions 365 to 832 of the family's 1533-position model. The record is from RNAcentral.
UUCGCAAUGCCCGAAAGGGUGACGAAGCGACGCCGCGUGUGGGAAGAAGGCCUUCGGGUUGUAAACCACUGUCGGGAGUUAAGAAAUGCAAGGAUAUGAAUAGUGUCUUUGCUUGACUAAGGCUCCGGAGGAAGCCACGGCUAACUCUGUGCCAGCAGCCGCGGUAAUACAGAGGCGGCAAGCGUUGUUCGGAAUUAUUGGGCGUAAAGAGCACGUAGGCGGUUAUGUAAGUCGGUUGUGAAAGCCUUCCGCUCAACGGGAGAACAGCAUCCGAUACUACAUGGCUUGAGUGCGGGAGGGGAGAGUGGAACUUCUGGUGGAGCGGUGAAAUGCGUAGAUAUCAGAAGGAACGCCGGCGGCGAAAGCGGCUCUCUGGCCCAUAACUGACGCUGAGUGUGCGAAAGCUAGGGGAGCAAACGGGAUUAGAUACCCCGGUAGUCCUAGCCGUAAACGAUGGGCACUAAGUAGAGGGGUUUU